AUCUUUCUCCAAGCCCAGUUCUUGGAUUUCAUGGUUAUUUGCUUGAGGGAAAACUGGAUUCUCCAAAACUCUGGUCAGCAGAACAAGUAAGUAGCUCACUGGCUAUAGCUAUUGACUUUUUGUUCAGCCACCUAAAUUUUUAGCUUUGCUUUUCCGACAUGCAGUAGAGUAAUAUUGAAAAUUACAUUAUUAGUUAGAGACAGUAAAAUGAGAAACCUUAGUGAAAUGUAUCAGGUUAGUACUGAAUAUAUGAUGUGGCCUGGGUAUUUUUCCUAUUCCAGUGUUAGGCUCCUUGCUUGAAUUGUUAGGGUUGUCUGAUAGAGUUUAGGUAUAGAUUCUCUCACAAUCACUCACCAGACUCAAUCCCAAACAUACACAAAGAUCUAUUCAGUGGAAAGAAUGUAUUACACUUUGAAUCCAAACAAUCUCUUCUUUAUGAAACGUUGCCAAGUCUCUCUGUCAUAUCAUAUUUUUUUCUAGGACUUUUAUCUUCAUAUCGUGUAACUUGAAGUGACGUUUCCGAAAGUGUAAUAGGAAUUAGGAAAUUUGAAAUGAGAUGUGUCUGUAAUGUAUUGGGUUCGAGGAAUAGACUCUUUGCUUCUUCUUUUUGUCGAGGGCUUUAAAAUAUCUUCGUAUGUACUUAAUAGAUAUCUUAAUCGACUAAUCUGGUUUGAUUAUUUGCGUGGAUGGAUUGUUUUCUGGUAAUCCAUUUAUUCAAAGGGAUGUAGCAGCCUCUGUAGAAGAAAUUUUCAUCCAUGUGUUUUGUUUUGUUUUGUUUUGUUUUGUUUUGUUUUGUUUUGUGCUCUAUAAAUCUUUAUAGAGACUUGGAUAAAAAUGUUUUCUGUAUUUGCAUAUCUGACAUGUUUGUCUAAUAGUGUUGUUGUUGCUUUGCUAAUUAGACUUUCUGGGUUGAUAUUGUUUAAUAUGUUUUCUAGCAGGUUUCAAUCAGUUAAAUAGUUAUUUCAAAAAAGGUGAAAAAAAUAAUGUGACGACGACAACUUUGUGGAUCACACAUGGCAAAGAAGAUCCCUCUCUGUGAUGGCAGGAAGAGUAUUUACUCAGCUGGGACACUGCCCUUCGAGAGAA
Molecule: long non-coding RNA, 1086 nt
Filed under: Brassica napus (rape)
Lineage: Eukaryota; Viridiplantae; Streptophyta; Magnoliopsida; Brassicales; Brassicaceae
Description: long non-coding RNA (BNAP_LNC026287)
Source: RNAcentral